RNAcentral lists this long non-coding RNA (833 nucleotides) under Gossypium barbadense (sea-island cotton). Its description in RNAcentral is "long non-coding RNA (GBAR_LNC016993)". The record is from RNAcentral. Lineage: Eukaryota; Viridiplantae; Streptophyta; Magnoliopsida; Malvales; Malvaceae.
AUACCAACAUUCUACUAAUGAUUUAACGGAUGAGUAAUCAAAAUAUUAACUAAAAUAAACAAUCAAAGACCGAAUUCUAAGUUUUUUUUUUGUUCAACAAAUCUUUCAUUCAAUAGGAACCAGAUUAAUAGAGUGUUACUAGUGCCACAGGUGGAACUUGAGCCCAGUUUGAUGGACAAGAAUGAAUCCUAGUUUUUCCUGCGAUCCAGUCAACAGCUCGAUUACAGUUCCUUUUGAUAAACUUAAACGAUACAUCAUUAACUCUAGAAACUAUCGAUAGAAUAUCUACAGCAAUUCCAAAAAUCUCCCAAGGGCACUGGUUCUUUUUUUAUAAGCAUUGAAUGAGUUGAAGAUUGUCAGGUUCAAAUUCCACAGACUGCCAGUUGUUAUCAGCCGCAAGUAUGGAACCCAGCCUUAUAGCUUGGGCUUCAGCCGCUAAUGCCGUAGACACAUGCAUCAACGAGUUGGUUCUAUCUGCAAUAUCUCCAUUGCCGUUCCUGGCAAUUGCAGCCACCCCAGCUUCUCCAAUUUUCCAAUUUAGAGAAGAACCAUAGUUGAUUUUUACAACUUGAGGUGGCGUUUUGUCCAUUCGGAGUUGAGGGCAAAGUUAGGGUGGGACCUCACAGGAACUGAAUUCUAAGUUUCAUUGUCACGUCACACCGACAAAGAAUAGUAAUAGUAAAUAGUAGGGUUAGGACAGGUGCAGCUCUCUCAUCUAUGUAUCUUUUAAUUUUGUAGACUGCAUCUGCGUUGCACUGCUGGAAUCUAAUUGUGUACGUAUGUUUUGGAUAUUAUAUAUUAUUCCGGUUCACGUGGGGGAGCCACGAUUCACA